This 410-nucleotide ribosomal RNA is filed under the name uncultured bacterium. RNAcentral's name for it is "bacterial SSU rRNA". It matches the Rfam family "Bacterial small subunit ribosomal RNA", at positions 370 to 772 of the family's 1533-position model. The record is from RNAcentral.
AAUGGGCGCAAGCCUGAUCCAGCCACGCCGCGUGAGUGAUGAAGGCCUUCGGGUUGUAAAGCUCUGUGGGUAGGGACGAAAACGGUCCGGAAGAAACGACGGAUCCUUGACGGUACCUACUUAGCAAGCACCGGCUAACUCUGUGCCAGCAGCCGCGGUAAUACAGAGGGUGCGAACGUUGCUCGGAAUUACUGGGCGUAAAGCGCGUGUAGGCGGAGCGCUAAGUCGGGCGUGAAAUCCCCAGGCUCAACCUGGGAACUGCGCUCGAAACUGGCGUUCUCGAGUAUCGGAGAGGGUGGCGGAAUUCCUGGUGUAGAGGUGAAAUUCGUAGAUAUCAGGAGGAACACCGGUGGCGAAGGCGGCCACCUGGACGAUCACUGACGCUGAGACGCGAAAGCGUGGGGAGCAAA